This 102-nucleotide transfer RNA is filed under the name Bacteroidota bacterium. RNAcentral's name for it is "tRNA-OTHER". Lineage: Bacteria; Pseudomonadati; Bacteroidota. The record is from RNAcentral.
AUACCAAGUUGUCUUAUCCACUUUUAGAACCUAAAACUAAAAAAAAGUAGAAAAACCUAACUCAUAAUCAGGUGGUCCCAGGUUCAAAUCCUGGUGGGCCCA